This 803-nucleotide ribosomal RNA is filed under the name actinobacterium SCGC AAA015-N08. Its description in RNAcentral is "SSU rRNA". It matches the Rfam family "Bacterial small subunit ribosomal RNA", at positions 55 to 864 of the family's 1533-position model. Lineage: Bacteria; Bacillati; Actinomycetota; Actinomycetes. The record is from RNAcentral.
CUGCAGUCGAGCGAAGCUUUUCAGUAGUUUACUACAGAAAAUGACUGAGCGGCGAACGGGUGAGUAACGCGUGAGCAACCUACCUUAGUUACUGGGAUAGCCCGAGGAAACUCGGAUUAAUACCGGAUAUUCUUAUUUAAUCACAUGAUUUUUUAAGGAAAGGUCAGCCGAACUAAGAUGGGCUCGCGUUCUAUCAGCUAGUUGGUAGGGUAAUGGCCUACCAAGGCUACGACGGAUAGCUGGUCUGAGAGGACGAUCAGCCACACUGGGACUGAGACACGGCCCAGACUCCUACGGGAGGCUGCAGCAGGGAAUAUUGCGCAAUGAGCGAAAGCUUGACGCAGCGACACCGCGUGUGGGAUGACGGAUCUAGGUUUGUAAACCACUUUCAGGAGGGAAGAAAAUGACGGUACCUCCACAAGAAGCCCCGGCCAACUACGUGCCAGCAGCCGCGGUAAUACGUAGGGGGCGAGCGUUGUCCGGAUUUAUUGGGCGUAAAGAGCUCGUAGGCGGUUCAACAAGUCGGUCGUGAAAGUUCAGGGCUCAACCCUGAAAUGUCGAUCGAUACUGUUGUGACUAGGAUACGGUAGAGGUGAGUGGAAUUCCGAGUGUAGCGGUGAAAUGCGUAGAUAUUCGGAGGAACACCAAUUGCGAAGGCAGCUCACUGGGCCGCUAUCGACGCUGAGGAGCGAAAGCUAGGGGAGCAAACAGGAUUAGAUACCCUGGUAGUCCUAGCUGUAAACGAUGGAUACUAGACGUAGGAAUUGGAUUAACGAUUUCUGUGUCGUAGCUAACGCGUUAAG